Molecule: transfer RNA, 75 nt
Filed under: Alphaproteobacteria bacterium
Lineage: Bacteria; Pseudomonadati; Pseudomonadota; Alphaproteobacteria
Also listed under: 1 other name
Description: tRNA-Thr
Rfam family: tRNA
About the family: Transfer RNA (tRNA) molecules are approximately 80 nucleotides in length.
Source: RNAcentral
GCUGCCGUAGCUCAGUGGUAGAGCACUCCCUUGGUAAGGGAGAGGUCAAGAGUUCAAAUCUCUUCGGCAGCACCA